Molecule: ribosomal RNA, 439 nt
Filed under: uncultured bacterium
Lineage: Bacteria
Description: partial 16S ribosomal RNA
Rfam family: Bacterial small subunit ribosomal RNA
Source: RNAcentral
CUACGGGGCGCUGCAGUGAGGAAUAUUGCACAAUGGGGGGAACCCUGAUGCAGCAACGCCGCGUGGAGGAUGACGCAUUUCGGUGUGUAAGCUCCUUUUAUAUGUCAAGAAAAUGACGGUAGCAUAUGAAUAAGCACCGGCUAACUCCGUGCCAGCAGCCGCGGUAAUACGGAGGGUGCAAGCGUUACUCGGAAUCACUGGGCGUAAAGGACGCGUAGGCGGGUUGGAAAGUCAGGUGUGAAAUCCUACAGCUUAACUGCAGAACUGCACUUGAAACUUCUAAUCUAGAGUAUGGGAGGGGGAGAUGGAAUUAGUGGUGUAGGGGUAAAAUCCGUAGAUAUCACUAGGAAUACCUAAAGCGAAGGCGAUCUCCUGGAACAUUACUGACGCUAAGGCGUGAAAGCGUGGGGAGCAAACAGGAUUAGAUACCCCGGUAGUC